GCGCUCGUAGCUCAGCUGGAUAGAGCAGUGGACUUCUAAUCCACCGGUCGCAGGUUCGAGUCCUGCCGGGCGCACCA
RNAcentral lists this transfer RNA (77 nucleotides) under Propionibacteriales bacterium. RNAcentral describes it as "tRNA-Arg". It matches the Rfam family "tRNA". From Rfam's summary of the family: Transfer RNA (tRNA) molecules are approximately 80 nucleotides in length. Their secondary structure includes four short double-helical elements and three loops (D, anti-codon, and T loops). Lineage: Bacteria; Bacillati; Actinomycetota; Actinomycetes; Propionibacteriales. The record is from RNAcentral.